CAGAGAGAGGGUGCAGACACAUCAGUGCAUAACUGCCUAGUUGUACAUAGAGUACAUAGUUAAUGAGAGACUGGGUUGCUUAGUCAGUUAGUCAGUGUGUAUGACUUAGGUCCUAAGUCAUUCAGUCAGCAUGCAGAGCAACAUCUACAGGCAGCAGAAUGAGCACUUUGAAGUCUUUACCACUGUCCUCUCCCCACAAGUUCACCGGGGACGAUGCCAAUUCAGACAGGCAGAGGCUGACCAGGCAAGUUAUUUUCCUGUUAAUGCUCACUCUCAGAUCCUCAAUAUUUAUUAACUAUGUUGAAUGAAAAUAUGCUUGGAUGAAUUCAACUUGUUGAUACAAUUGGUAGAUUUGCUCCGCAAUUCACCCUCAUAUCCCCUGGAUUCUGUUCAUGCAAGCAUGAGACAUCUAAUGUAGAUUGUUUUUGUGUCUCCAGCUACACUUGUCUGUAGAGACAAUUGCAUUAGUUAGUUCAAAUUAGAUGCUGUCUGUUAUGUCAUUCAUUACCAUGAGACUAAAGAGAACAGAUCAUGGAGAACAGCAGGUGAUUGGGUUUCUUUAUAACUGUGAGCCAGGUAAUCCAUAGAGUUUUAGCCAGCCACCUAAUCCUCUUCAUUCAUUCAGGCAUAGACUCAAUGUGAAUGAGCUGAGGAAUGGAACAAUGAAUUGGACAUGUCAUGAUAUAUCAUAUAAACUUACUGCAUAGACAAGCAUAUACUGUGACAGACAUAAGGAACACCGCUGCAUGUGCUCAAAUACUGCAUCUGUCUUGUUACAUAUAAAAUGUAUUGAAGUUGCAUUUCUCGAUUAAUCCACUAGAUGGUGGUAAAGCGCAGCUACAAGCCCCACUGGCCAGAUGAGCUGGCGCUGACCCGGGGGGAGUUCAUCCUGGUUCUGUGUAAAGAUGAUGAGGCCCGGUGGUUUGGGCGGCUGCAAAACGGACAGCAGGGAUACUUCCCGGCCUCGCAUGUUGUGGAGCUGAGCCACCAGGACGAUGAGCCAGCUAAAGACGUCCACCGCUUAGCGAGACGGGGUUCAGCUCCGGCCACGUAUGCAGGUGGUACUGGCGCACUCAGGCUGCAGGCCCUCCGCAGAGCCAGCAGAGCAGCGGCAGGAGGGGGGCCGGAGGGGGCCGAGGGGGAGAGAGAGGGCCCCAUCCUGAUACUGAAGUCCCAGAUCUCUCUCCCUAACAGGCUGCCCCAGCCCCUGCCCCAACCCCAGCCACAGGCACACAGCUCCCCAAGUUUCCUCCACAGGAUCCUAUCCAAGCACCGUCGGAGGAGUGAUUGUCAUGGGUCCAGCAACACGGGCUACAUGGCCGACUAAGAUGCUACGAUGGACGGUGGUGUGUGGGGAGAGAAACAGGCACAAGAGGGGAAAGGAGGGAGGAGAGAGGAGGAGAUUGGGUAUAGCGAAAAGUGACUACAUUUUGUGCCCACCCCCAAUGGGGCCAGGUAGGGUUGCCAUAGUUACAUCACUAAUGCUAGUCUAUGACUGAACUGCUGGCUGCAUCAUUGGAGAGCUGGAGUGAGGGUAACUACUUCCCUGCCUCCUCUGUAAAGUGUUUAAGAAAUAUCAAUGGUGUACCGUAUAUACAUUUUCCGGGAUUAAGAUGUGACAUUAAGCAAGCCGUAAAUUGAAGGGUUGAAUAGGGGGAUCAGAUUUAUGACUAUAUUUUAUGAAGCUAACUGUGUUUACUUCAGCCAAAUAAUGUUCCAUGAGUCUGCUUGAGCUUUCUGUUCCAUGAGUCUGCCUGAGCUUUCUGUUCCAUGUUGUCAUCCAUAUUAGGCUGUAUUCUCUGCAACUAUGACGUUCCAGAGCAGCACUAAAUCAUUGAUAUAUUUCCUUUUGACUAUAAAUUGUUCAAUUUCAUUUGUGUUAAACCCAACAUCAGCCAAGAAUGUAUUUUUCAUAAAAAAUAAUCAAACCCGUACUUGCGGCUGAUAUCCCUUAAUUCUAGUUAGUAACAUAUUCCACUACAGCAUGUACCACGGCAAGAGUCUUCCAUUCAACGGAACUGAAAAAAGCCCUGCGAAGUGAGAGGAUGUGUGAUUGAGGCGUGUUGAAAGGCACUGCCAAAGGAAAUGGCAUCAUUAUUGUGAAGGUUGCCCAGGCAAUGGUAAAACAGCUCUCUCUCUCUGGGCUCAACACAGUCUUCAGUGGUACCUCCCAGCAUGGCCACGACUGGAGUACGCUGUAGAAUGUAUCCUUUGAAAGGGCAACGCUGUGGAAUGUAUCCUUUGGAAGGACUAAAGCUCCAACUCUCUAAUCCUAAUCCUAACCUUGACCUCUAUUAGAUUUAGACACCACAUCCACCAGCCCAGUGAUGUGUCCAUUGAUAAACUUAGAUCAGAUCUAUUCUAACAAGGACCAUAUCCCCGCCUGAUAUGUGAGAUUAUGGCACUAGCAAGCAGUAAUGCGAACUACAGGGAAUGCUGGUUAAAAAGGUAAGCGUUUAAAAAAAAACACCAAAGCCAAAAGCCGUCCUGUAAUUUAUGACUAGUUGCAUGGUCAGUCUGAACCUCUGUGUUGUUGAAGAUGGAAGCAGAAAUAGUGUCUGAACAGUUUUCCAACAUCUUGGUGUUCCUUCGCACAUCUUCCUGAUUUCUUAGUAUGUGAUAUAGGAUGUUUGAUGCUGGAGGCCUGGCCGCCACAGCCAUCUGCUGAGAAAGGCUUAGCGCCUCUGAGAGAGGAGAAGCUUUCCCCCUCUGACUGGCCUCUCCUCUCUCUACUCUCCUUCAUCCAUUCAUUCAUUCAAUCAGUGCUUUAAUUAUCUCUAAUCCAGGGUCAAACUCUGCCUCUCUCUAACUCCUGGAAUAAAGCCUUGCUAUGUGGAUUAUUGUGGUUGACAUCCAGUGGGGACAGUGACAGCUACACACAGAGUGACAGAGGCCCUACUCUCAUAGAGGCUAGAGGUCCAGAGGGCUGGUGUGUGUGUAGAGGGGGGAUGUUCACCUGCCUGACACCUGUUCUUUCCCCUCCUCACCUGUGGAGCAGCAGAUGCUAUGCAGGAGAGUGCUGAGCCCUGCCCCACCCCCAGUGAACACAGUCUGUACCCCUCAUACACUGUCUUCCAUGCCCAUUCAACCAGGAAACCUUGACUAAGCACACACACACACACACACACACACACACACACACACACACACACACACACACACACACACACACACACACACACACACACACACACACACACACACACACACACACACACACACACACACACACAAGUUACACCUCAGAUACACCCAGAAAGAAACGCAAACCACACAGACCAACCCAGUCCAAUGUAUUGUAUCGCCCCUCAUUGUGAAUCUGUUGUUUGUUGCUAAAAGUGUAGUCAGGCAGCAGGCUCCUCUAGUAUACCAGUUAGGUACCGCUGUUCAUUAGUGAGCCUGUUUAACCUCACAGCACUAACAUACACGGGGGAACUGGAGACCUAGGACCUAUUUACAGCAGAAAGGGACCAAAACACACACACACAAUUUGGUUUUCCCGCCUAAAGUGUCUCAUCCCCUCAGUGGUGCUGUGUGUUCAGCAGGACACCAACAGGGUGCCUGCCAGAUGACUGCCCUGUCAGUGCUAUAAUGGCUGCCAUCUGCUGUCUGGCAUACACAAAGGCUGGCAGUGGCAGUAUGUGUGUGUGUGUGUGUGUGUGUGUGUGUGUGUGUGUGUGUGUAGGGGAAAUACAGGAGGGGGAGGGACCCUCUCUGCAUUGAACACCAAUUCACACAGCAAAGUUUGAGCACUGUACAACAUAAUGACUUGAAACAGUAUAUAUAUAUUUGAAGUAAAACAUACUUCUCUAAAAUCAAUAAAUGCUUUACCCAUUGAUUGAUGUGCUACAGUACUACUAAAAUAGAUUCCUGUCAAUACACUGUAUAGUACACACGUCUGUAUAGUACACACGUCUGUAUAGUACACAUGUCUGUACUGAUACCCAACAGGUGCAUGUGUGGCCAAGCUAAGUCAAUAAGGAGUGCCCUGUGCAGGACCAAAACAAUACACUCAGUAAACACAAGGCUUUACAGGCUGAUGCCAACAACCAAUUAAGAGGCAGUAAGCCUUUGACAUGUCUCAAGCCAGUCCAGACCAUCUGAAAGCAACAAUAGCUCAAGUCCUGCCCAGACAAGAAACAGAUUGAUCUAGUGGAUAUUUGCGUGCGCGUUUGUCUGUACUGUUGAUGCUGCCCCAGCAGAAGGCAAGUCGCCAGGCCUUGUGCCCCUCCUCUUGGGGGCAAUUGAGUGAAUGGGUCUGUAAAAGCAACAGGCCCUGGGGACAAUAGCGCCCGGGGGCAUUAAGUCACGGGUGACUGGGCGUCUUUAGGGCCAGCAGCUGACCCUGUGGAGAGGCCUCUUGUCCUGCCGGAGGGGGACUCGUGUCACAGACCCCAGGCCAAGCUGACAGCACACCGCCACACACACACGGAAGGGGGAUUGUGUCCAUGGUGAACCCAGGCCAAGCUGACACACACCACAGGCAACAUAUACACAGAUACUGUUAAUCUACUGCCAUAAGGACCUGACAGGACUGGACAGGGAACAGAAGAGUCCUUCCACUGGAGGGAACAGGGAUA
Long non-coding RNA from Oncorhynchus tshawytscha (Chinook salmon), 4580 nucleotides. The record is from Ensembl. NCBI's taxonomy places the organism in Eukaryota, Metazoa, Chordata, Actinopteri, Salmoniformes, Salmonidae.